CACCAAUCAAGCCUCGCUUGGUAUUGGGCGUCCGCGGCGGGAACGUCGCGCGCCCCAAUGUCUCCGGCUGGGCCGUCCGUCUCUCAAGCGUUGUGGUCUAACUGUUCGCUUUGGAGCGCGGGCCGGUCUGUGCCGUUAAACCCCCCAUCAAA
This 152-nucleotide unclassified non-coding RNA is filed under the name uncultured Teratosphaeriaceae. RNAcentral describes it as "sequence contains ITS2". The record is from RNAcentral. Lineage: Eukaryota; Fungi; Ascomycota; Dothideomycetes; Mycosphaerellales; Teratosphaeriaceae.